This 483-nucleotide ribosomal RNA is filed under the name uncultured bacterium. RNAcentral's name for it is "partial 16S ribosomal RNA". It matches the Rfam family "Bacterial small subunit ribosomal RNA", at positions 30 to 506 of the family's 1533-position model. The record is from RNAcentral.
AUUGAACGCUGGCGGCAGGCCUAACACAUGCAAGUCGAGCGGAUGAAGGGAGCUUGCUCCUGGAUUCAGCGGCGGACGGGUGAGUAAUGCCUAGGAAUCUGCCUGGUAGUGGGGGAUAACGUCCGGAAACGGGCGCUAAUACCGCAUACGUCCUGAGGGAGAAAGUGGGGGAUCUUCGGACCUCACGCUAUCAGAUGAGCCUAGGUCGGAUUAGCUAGUUGGUGGGGUAAAGACCUACCAAGGCGACGAUCCGUAACUGGUCUGAGAGGUUGAUCAGCCACACUGGAACUGAGACACGGUCCAGACUCCUACGGGAGGCAGCAGUGGGGAAUAUUGGACAAUGGGCGAAAGCCUGAUCCAGCCAUGCCGCGUGUGUGAAGAAGGUCUUCGGAUUGUAAAGCACUUUAAGUUGGGAGGAAGGGCAGGAAGUUAAUACCUUGCUGUUUUGACGUUACCAACAGAAUAAGCACCGGCUAACUUCGU